GAUGGAUGCUGGCGGCGUGCCUAACACAUGCAAGUCGAGCGGCAGCGAGGGGUGCUUGCACCCUGUCGGCGAGCGGCGAACGGCUGAGUAACGCGUAGGAAUUUGCCCCAAAGUGAGGAAUAACUGCCCGAAAGGGUAGCUAAUGCCGCAUAUGGUCUUCGGAUUAAAGGAUUUAUCCGCUUUGGGAGAAGCCUGCGUUGGAUUAGGUUGUUGGUAGGGUAAUGGCCUACCAAGCCGACGAUCCAUAGCUGGUCUGAGAGGAUGAUCAGCCAGACUGGAACUGAGACACGGUCCAGACUCCUACGGGAGGCAGCAGUGAGGAAUCUUCCACAAUGGGCGAAAGCCUGAUGGAGCAACGCCGCGCGAAGGAUGAAGGCCUUCGGGUUGUAAACUUCUUUUAUGAGUGAAGAAUAUGACGGUAACUCAUGAAUAAGCACCGGCUAACUACGUG
RNAcentral lists this ribosomal RNA (451 nucleotides) under uncultured bacterium. Its description in RNAcentral is "partial 16S ribosomal RNA". It matches the Rfam family "Bacterial small subunit ribosomal RNA", at positions 28 to 507 of the family's 1533-position model. The record is from RNAcentral.